UUCCAGACUCCUACGGGAGGCAGCAGUGGGGAAUAUUGGGCAAUGGGCGCAAGCCUGACCCAGCAACGCCGCGUGAAGGAAGAAGGCCCUCGGGUUGUAAACUUCUUUUAUCAGGGACGAAACAAAUGACGGUACCUGAUGAAUAAGCCACGGCUAACUACGUGCCAGCAGCCGCGGUAAUACGUAGGUGGCAAGCGUUAUCCGGAUUUACUGGGUGUAAAGGGCGUGUAGGCGGGUCUGCAAGUCAGAUGUGAAAUCUCAUGGCUCAACCAUGGAACUGCAUUUGAAACUGUGUUUCUUGAGUGCUGGAGAGGCAAUCGGAAUUCCGUGUGUAGCGGUGAAAUGCGUAGAUAUACGGAGGAACACCAGUGGCGAAGGCGGAUUGCUGGACAGUAACUGACGCUGAGGCGCGAAAGCGUGGGGAGCAAACAGGAUUAGAUACCCGUGUAUGA
RNAcentral lists this ribosomal RNA (452 nucleotides) under uncultured bacterium. RNAcentral's name for it is "bacterial SSU rRNA". It matches the Rfam family "Bacterial small subunit ribosomal RNA", at positions 329 to 794 of the family's 1533-position model. The record is from RNAcentral.